UAACAAAUCGGGAGGUGACAGAGUCGG
RNAcentral lists this non-coding RNA (27 nucleotides) under Mus musculus (house mouse). The record is from RNAcentral. Lineage: Eukaryota; Metazoa; Chordata; Mammalia; Rodentia; Muridae.